UGGGGAAUAUUGCACAAUGGGCGCAAGCCUGAUGCAGCCAUGCCGCGUGUAUGAAGAAAGGCCUUCGGGUUGUAAAGUACUUUCAGCGAGGAGGAAGGCGUUAAGGUUAAUAACCUUGGCGAUUGACGUUACUCGCAGAAGAAGCACCGGCUAACUCCGCCGGGAUCAGCCGCGGUAAUACGGAGGGUGCAAGCGUUAAUCGGAAUUACUGGGCGUAAAGCGCACGCAGGCGGUCUGUCAAGUCGGAUGUGAAAUCCCCGGGCUCAACCUGGGAACUGCAUUCG
Molecule: ribosomal RNA, 284 nt
Filed under: uncultured Enterobacteriaceae bacterium
Lineage: Bacteria; Pseudomonadati; Pseudomonadota; Gammaproteobacteria; Enterobacterales; Enterobacteriaceae
Description: partial 16S ribosomal RNA
Rfam family: Bacterial small subunit ribosomal RNA
Source: RNAcentral